CCCUUGUCCUGGUGACUCGAUCGUAACUUCUUUAGCGUAACAAUCAACUUUAGCAUGAUGUCUUGUCAACCAAUCCAUGCCUAGUAUGAUAUCAAACUCUUGAAAAGGCAAUACUAUCAAGUCUGCUUUUAAUUCCGUAUUUCCUAUUUCGAUAGGACAGUCUCUAUAUAUUUGAUCUACUACUUCCACUUCUCCUAGUGGUGUAUGAACAUUUACUUUGAGAUCUAGUAUUUCAUGACUUCUAUGCAAGUGAGAUGUCAUUUUAGAUGAUAUGAAUGAAUGUGUUGAACCAGGGUCGAUAAGAGCAUACGCAUCUAAUUGAUAUAAGAGAACUUUACCCGUUAUAACCUCAGGUGCAACUUCUGCCUCUCCUCUCGUUAAUGCAAAAACUCGUGCCUGGGUUGGUGGAUUUGAACUUUGAGCCUGUGAUCUUCCAAUGCCUCCCCCAGUGCUACCUGUACCCUUCUUGCCUCUACCUCUUCCAAAAGAUGUACCAACUCCUUUCACUUCUACAUUCUGAACACUUGGUUCAGAUACAGCCUGUACAUUUUCCCUUUUGUUGGGACAGUCUCUAAUGAAAUGGCCUUGUUCCCCACACAAAUAACAUCCUCCCGUUUGAGCUCUACAUUGCCCAAAAUGUUGCCUUCCGCAAGUUUGACAUGUAGGCUUCACCUGUACAUUUGAACCUCGGCUAAGAGUUGGAUUUGAUCGAGGGUUAUUCAAUCUCCCGCCUUGAGCACCAGAAAAACCUCCUCUUGUAAUAGAUUUAGUGGGUGCACUAACAUUUGGACGCUUCUUAGGCCUUCCACCAGCCUCUCCAGCAAAUCUUGUUUCUUCUCUCUUUGACUUUGAGAAGAAAGCAGGCUUCUCUUUAAUCAAGCGUUCAGCUCGAAUCGCUGCAGCCCUCAAAUCUGUAUAACUCCUAAGUUCUCCAAUAGUAAUUUUACUCCUGAUCUCAUACUUGAGACCUUCCUCAAAACGUCUACAUUUGUCCCUCUCAGUUGCCACCAUUGAUGAGGCAUAUCGGGACAAUUGGGUGAACUUGACUUCGUACUCAGCUACCGUCAUAUUUCCUUGCUUCAAAUUCAAGAACUCUCUUUGUUUCUCAUCCCUAUAGAUCUCUGGCAUAUACUUAUCUUUAAACUCUCGCUGAAAAUCAUCCCAAGUAAGUUUUGGUGGUUGAGCAUCUGAGUCAGGAACAGUCUCCCACCAAUCAUAAGCAUCAUCUUGGAGUAAGGAUACUGCAUAAUCAAACUUCUCUUCGUCUCCGCAAUGCAUCAUAUUAAACACUCUCUUUGUCCUUUUUAACCAUGACUCAGCUUCAGUUGGAUCUACAGUACCAUAGAAAUCAGUCGCCCCUAAUUUCCUAAGUUCUUUAUAAUUCCGUUUAACUGGUGCAUUCCUACGUACAACUUGGGGUUCUGACAUAGCUUGCUGCUCAGGUACUUGUCUUUCUACUUCUACAGUGGCCUCAUGCCUAGAUUCUUGUGGAAUAGGUAUAGACUCCUCGUGUCUAGACUCAUGUGGAGUAUGUGAUCCACUACCAGAUGGUUGGUGGUCAGCUGGACUCCUUUGUGCAGCCUGUUCAUUGGAUGCUCCUUCCAUCGCCUUCUGCACAUAUAAACAUAUCUUAGAUACUAUAUCACUCAAAAAUCCUAACCGUACUUCUAUGCCCUAGAGGUCAUAUCCCUGCUCUGAUACCAACUAAAUGUAACACCCUUGUACCAUAUAAUCAUUUUCAUGCACUUCUAGCAAAAUCAUGUAAUUUAAUAAUAUUAUGAAAUAUCUUUUCCUGUAUAAGUGGAUAAUAUAACCAUCAGCUAUUGCUUGGCUAUAUCUUGAUCUUCACCAGAACAUAAAAUCUCAACUACUUCAACAACAUUUACCAAGCAACAUAAAAUUUCAAUACAUUUCCAUCAUCCAUAUUCACCACACAUAUUCAGAAUUUAAACAUAAAUUUAUCUUCGUGAUUUCUUGCACACUUAGUAAGUCUAGAGUACAUAAACACAAUCUCUCAAACUACAUAUAUGUGCAUCGGCUGAUGGAGGAGUCUGGAGCAUCCUGCUGGACCACCGUCUCUUAGGCACUAUCUACAAUCUCCACUGAGCACUCAUACAAAACACUCUACUAACUAUUCAUAUCCUGGAAAAAUGAGCGAUUUCCAUGAGUCGCAACUCAAUGAAUAUACAUCAACUUUAGUUUGUAAAAGAUACUGAGAUUGUCUGAAAAUAACUUGUAGCGUCUUUGGUAAAAUCUUCCAGAAAAUAAAAGAAAGUAAGGUUCUCGAAACAAUUGUAAGAAAAUAUUCAUUUUAAUAUAUAUUUCCUGUUCGUAUUUAUGAGAGCAAUUAAUAUCUUUCAUUCAUAAUAUUAUCAUCAUCCCAAAUUACACCAAGAUAUAACAUCAUCACAUAUAUGUUUUACUUAAUCAUAAAUCACUGACAUAUGUUAAUCAUAUAUGCCAUGAAAGUAUGAACUUGUAUCUAUGCAUGCAUGCAUCUCUGUUUCUCUUUCUUUUGCUAUUGUGAACAGUUCACUGUAUAAUGCCCGUGUUUCCACAUGUCCUCAAAGGAUCCAUGUGUGUCUGGCCAGCUCCGUCUAUGUCCGACUAUGGAAAUCGGCUCCGUCUAUGUCCGACAAAAGUCGGCUACCAACUCCUUUCACUUCUACAUUCUGAACACUUGGUUCAGAUACAGCAUGUACAUUUUUUCCAUAUUCUCUAAUGAAAUGGCCUUGUUCCCCACACAAAUAACAUCCUCCCGUUUGAGCUCUACAUUGCCCAAAAUGUUGCCUUCCGCAAGUUUGACAUGUAGGCUUCACCUGUACAUUUGAACCUCGGCUAAGAGUUGGAUUUGAUCGAGGGUUAUUCAAUCUCCCACCUUGAGCACCAGAAAAACCUCCUCUUGUAAUAGAUUUAGUGGGUGCACUAACAUUUGGACGCUUCUUAGGCCUUCCACCAGCCUCUCCAGCAAAUCUUGUUUCUUCUCUCUUUGACUUUGAGAAGAAAGCAGGCUUCUCUUUAAUCAAGCGUUCAGCUCGAAUCGCUGCAGCCCUCAAAUCUGUAUAACUCCUAAGUUCUCCAAUAGUAAUUUUACUCCUGAUCUCAUACUUGAGACCUUCCUCAAAACGUCUACAUUUGUCCCUCUCAGUUGCCACCAUUGAUGAGGCAUAUCGGGACAAUUGGGUGAACUUGACUUCGUACUCAGCUACCGUCAUAUUUCCUUGCUUCAAAUUCAAGAACUCUCUUUGUUUCUCAUCCCUAUAGAUCUCUGGCAUAUACUUAUCUUUAAACUCUCGCUGAAAAUCAUCCCAAGUAAGUUUUGGUGGUUGAGCAUCUGAGUUAGGAACAGUCUCCCACCAGUCAUAAGCAUCAUCUUGGAGUAAGGAUACUGCAUAAUCAAACUUCUCUUCGUCUCCACAAUGCAUCAUAUUAAACACUCUCUUUGUCCUUUUUAACCAUGACUCAGCUUCAGUUGGAUCUAUGGUACCAUAGAAAUCAGUCGCCCCUAGCUUCCUAAGUUCUUUAUAAUUCCGUUUAACUGGUGCAUUCCUACGAACAACUUGGGGUUCUGACAUAGCUUGCUGCUCAGGUACUUGUCUUUCUACUUCUACAGUGGCCUCAUGCCUAGAUUCUUGUGGAAUAGGUAUAGACUCCUCGUGUCUAGACUCAUGUGGAGUAUGUGAUCCACUACCAGAUGGUUGGUGGUCAGCUGGACUCCUUUGUGCAGCCUGUUCAUUGGAUGCUCCUUCCAUCGCCUUCUGCACAUAUAAACAUAUCUUAGAUACUAUAUCACUCAAAAAUCCUAACCGUACUUCUAUGCCCUAGAGGUCAUAN
This 3834-nucleotide long non-coding RNA is filed under the name Daucus carota (carrot). Its description in RNAcentral is "long non-coding RNA (DCAR_LNC004205)". Lineage: Eukaryota; Viridiplantae; Streptophyta; Magnoliopsida; Apiales; Apiaceae. The record is from RNAcentral.